GAUUAUGACGUGCUUGCACUGAAUGAGAUUUUAACACGAAGUGAGUGGCGGACGGGUGAGUAACACGUGGGUAACCUGCCCAGAAGCAGGGGAUAACACCUGGAAACAGAUGCUAAUACCGUAUAACAGAGAAAACCGCCUGGUUUUUCUUUUAAAAGAUGGCUCUGCUAUCACUUCUGGAUGGACCCGCGGCGCAUUAGCUAGUUGGUGAGGUAACGGCUCACCAAGGCGAUGAUGCGUAGCCGACCUGAGAGGGUAAUCGGCCACAUUGGGACUGAGACACGGCCCAGACUCCUACGGGAGGCAGCAGUAGGGAAUCUUCCACAAUGGACGCAAGUCUGAUGGAGCAACGCCGCGUGAGUGAAGAAGGGUUUCGGCUCGUAAAGCUCUGUUGUUAAAGAAGAACGUGGGUGAGAGUAACUGUUCACCCAGUGACGGUAUUUAACCAGAAAGCCACGGCUAACUACGUGCCAGCAGCCGCGGUAAUACGUAGGUGGCAAGCGUUAUCCGGAUUUAUUGGGCGUAAAGCGAGCGCAGGCGGUCUUUUAAGUCUAAUGUGAAAGCCUUCGGCUCAACCGAAGAAGUGCAUUGGAAACUGGGAGACUUGAGUGCAGAAGAGGACAGUGGAACUCCAUGUGUAGCGGUGAAAUGCGUAGAUAUAUGGAAGAACACCAGUGGCGAAGGCGGCUGUCUGGUCUGUAACUGACGCUGAGGCUCGAAAGCAUGGGUAGCGAACAGGAUUAGAUACCCUGGUAGUCCAUGCCGUAAACGAUGAUUACUAAGUGUUGGGAGGGUUUCCCGCCCUUCAGUGCUGCAGCUAACGCAUUAAGUAAUCCGCCUGGGGGAGUACGACCGCAAGGGUUGAAACUCAAAAAUAAUUGACGGGGGGCCCGCACCAAG
This 900-nucleotide ribosomal RNA is filed under the name Pediococcus acidilactici. RNAcentral's name for it is "bacterial SSU rRNA". It matches the Rfam family "Bacterial small subunit ribosomal RNA", at positions 46 to 929 of the family's 1533-position model. The record is from RNAcentral. Lineage: Bacteria; Bacillati; Bacillota; Bacilli; Lactobacillales; Lactobacillaceae.